AGUCAGUUAACAAGUGAAAUCGCACAAAGCAUGCUCUGCAUAUAAUCAGCUUAAAAUAUCAGCGAACAAACAAUUUCAAUCAAAUUGAAAUCAAACGCUGCAGGAGGACGCCUCUGUGCCAAUCCUCGCAUCCUUCCGAAUCGCCCCCCGUCAUUACCCGCAGUUAUGUUCCAGAUUUACCUUGCUACGUGCAGCACCAAGUUGAUUGCUCAUAUGUGUGCGAGGCAAAGGCGAUGGAGGUGAAAGUAUAAUAAAGGCACAGUUACGUAUACAUAUUCUCGCUGUGGGCAGAUGGAGUCGAGAGUCACUCGCUGACUCAUUCAGUCAUUCACUCAGUCAGCCAGUUUGCUGCGUUGGCCCGAGCCGAGUCAAGCAGUCGAGCGCGAAAUAAGCUUUGUCUGAUGGACUGAGGUAAAUGAACAGUGGAGCAGAUCCACCAGGUGGAGAUGAUGCCACAUGACACGCGGAGGAGCUGCCAGCGGUUGCAACACCAGCAAUAGCACGAC
Non-coding RNA from Drosophila melanogaster (fruit fly), 506 nucleotides. NCBI's taxonomy places the organism in Eukaryota, Metazoa, Arthropoda, Insecta, Diptera, Drosophilidae. The record is from Ensembl.